Molecule: non-coding RNA, 1004 nt
Organism: Cyanistes caeruleus (blue tit)
Lineage: Eukaryota; Metazoa; Chordata; Aves; Passeriformes; Paridae
Source: RefSeq, a predicted model, not a curated record
GCGGUGCCCCCGCCCGGAGAGAGCCGCAGAGCCGUGGAAUGGUGGCGUGAGCGCGGAUGGAAGAGUCAUUUUACAUCACCGAAUCCAGCCGUCAACCGAGCAGUGUCCCUGUAACACCGAAACCGCAUCACCCACAGACUGAUUCUGACGCCUCUUUAACACCUUCAGGGAUCGUGACCCCCAGCUCCCUGGGCGACCUAUUCCAGUGUCUGAGCAGCCGAACUGUUCAAAUAUUUUUCAAGUGUCUAGGUAUAAUUUUUCAUUAGGGGCGCAAAGAAUAUGUAGGUAUCAAUUUCAUUGUGAAUAUGGAGGAAUUAGUAGUUAAAUACUCAGAUCUCAUCUUUAAGUCCUUGGUUUGUAAUGUUUUCCAUCAUAAUGAUAGCUCUCUCUCGCCCAAGACAAAAAUGUUUUCUCACCUCCCAGAUUUGGGUUUGUACACAGAAUUUGUAGGAGUUUUUUUUUUCCAACUUGGAAACUCAUGCACUAAGAACGUGAAAAAAAUUGUGAAACUGGUCUUCCUUGACAUGAUAGCCCGUGUUAGAAUUUAAGAGUAACUUAAAUGUAAAUGUAAAAGUGAAAUACAGCACUUUAAAUUUCAGUAUUGUCAAACUGAGAAAUUUCAAGGUCAAAACAAUUCUAAAGUUUAUUUUGAAUAUGAGGUUUGUUUACUCAAAACAGGCUGUAACAAAAAGGCAUUUUGUUGAAGAAUUUCAGUGAAAGAUAAUGCCAUAUGCAUCAGACUUCCUGUGAACUGAUGUUGGAUGCCAUUGUUAAACAGAGCUGGUAAAACAUACAUUGCAGUAACAUACCACGGGAAGACUUGUUUAUGCACCCUGCACAAAGAGAAAGGAGAAGAGAAAGCCUCAAACAAACACAGAUUAGUAGAUUUCCUGCUAGUAAAGUCCACCCAGGUAUAAAGCAUUUUGAAUGUUCCUGUAAUCCUGAGGAUUACGUUUCACUAUUUGUGUCAAUGGUUGCAUUUAAAUACAAGGUGGUUUUAAUUU